GGGUGUGACCAUACCAGUAUUAAUGCAUUGGAUUCCAUCAGUAUUUCGUAGUUAAAUAUGUUUGGAUGAGAGUAGUGUUAAGAUGGGCGAUCUUUUGAUAAGAAGUUUUCUUUUUAUUUU
Molecule: non-coding RNA, 120 nt
Organism: Citrus sinensis (sweet orange)
Lineage: Eukaryota; Viridiplantae; Streptophyta; Magnoliopsida; Sapindales; Rutaceae
Source: Rfam